GUCUGAUCUCAAGACAGUGUUUGAGCGCGAGAACACGGCUUGAAGAUGAACCCGUAAAAAUAUGCAUUUGGCGUAACAGCAGGAAACUUCCUAAAGUUCUUAGUGCACAACAGAGGGGUUGAAAUUGACAAGAAGAAAUCGGGCCAGAAGUUGAAGAAUGCCUCUCACACAGAUGGACAGCAAAGAAGAGAAGGCCUUCUAAGGCGGACUCUGGCUCUUUCAUUUGUAAGAGUCCUCCUCAGGCACGAGAUUGUCCGAUGAAGGAUAAACUUGCUGGUUGCCGAGGACAAGAGGGAAGAACCCCUAGGGUAGGGUGAAUCCGUUACAGUUGCGGAAUGCGAUCAACCAUUAGAAGCCUACGUCUGCUGGGCUUAUGUAUGUUGAGAUAGUGCUGAAUGAAAUGGCCACUCUGCUCG
Molecule: non-coding RNA, 416 nt
Organism: Lupinus albus (white lupine)
Lineage: Eukaryota; Viridiplantae; Streptophyta; Magnoliopsida; Fabales; Fabaceae
Source: the annotation of a GenBank genome assembly